This 878-nucleotide long non-coding RNA is filed under the name Amphimedon queenslandica. RNAcentral describes it as "uncharacterized LOC109585320, transcript variant X1". Lineage: Eukaryota; Metazoa; Porifera; Demospongiae; Haplosclerida; Niphatidae. The record is from RNAcentral.
AACUCAACUCGUCAAGGCAAACUCAAAGAGAGAGAGUGAGAUCGAGAAGAAGAUGCGAAGAUUCAGAGGCUGCGAAGCAGGCAGUGCUAGGCAGCAACUUCAUAAGUUCAUUGCUCGUCUAGUCGAUGCUGUAGCCGUGGUUCAAGAUGACGGACUUAUGAAGGACAUCCUGCAAACUGACACGUGGCCAGCUCACUCUUUACUGAACAAACUGGAAGAUGGAAAGAGAGACUAAAAAAGGUGAUGUUAAAUCUAAUGACUUGCUAUCAGUUUAAGCCAAGAAAUAUAGAUCUGACAUAAUUUAUUCACACUGAAGCAACAGCUUGUUAAAGACAUAUGUCAUCAAGACAAAGGCUCAUCUCUUAUAAAAGGAAUUAGGAGAGAUUCUAUUUACAAUGGUCGCCAUCUGUAACACAUAAAACAUGUAAAAGUGGAUAACAUUCAUUUAUCAGGAGCACUCUCUAAAAGAAGAAAGAAGGCUCAUGCUAAAUAAUUGGUGUUGUCCAGUGAUAGUGUUUACUGGAAGCAUGGUCCAGGGCAAAUGGUAACUAUGUUCUCCAUAAUGGAGGUAUUAGUAUUUCAAAGAAACCGGCUUGAAAUUUAAAUCCGAAAUUCCCAAACAGCUAGUCGUCAAGGAGAUGGGAUAGAUCAGGGGCCCCCUGUCCUUGUGUGGGAAGAGAGAGGAGGAGGAGAGAGAACCUGAGGAGGAAUUCUGAGUAUUGAUACAUGAAAUUCAGUGAGACCAGCUUUAGAGAAGAUGAUAUUUAAUCCAAACACAAUGACAGCAUUCUUGGACAGGUUAUCUGACUAUUGAGAGGACAUAAUGAAGGAGUAGUAAUAACUGUAACUGUACAUUAACCAGGUCAGUAAUGGGUAUA